Molecule: long non-coding RNA, 232 nt
Filed under: Trifolium pratense (red clover)
Lineage: Eukaryota; Viridiplantae; Streptophyta; Magnoliopsida; Fabales; Fabaceae
Description: long non-coding RNA (TPRA_LNC010700)
Source: RNAcentral
AGAAUGAUCAAUGUUGUUAGUAACAGUAACAUAUUGGAACUGAUAGAUAGCAUAUUAGCAAUAGUGAACUGAUAAGUUGUAUUCUUCAUGAGCAACUCAGCACAGCUUAUGAUGUUCAAAAUAGUUAAAAAGGAAAAUCUGAAUGAACUAAGCUGCGCUUAAGUGCUAAAAACAGUGUCUGAACUGAACCAAGCUAUGUUUCAUAUAAUGAAUGCACAAUAAAACUGAGUCA